AGCGAACGUUUGCGGCGGGCUUAACACAUGCAAGUCGAACGGGCUGUUCCUUCGGGGGCAGUCAGUGGCGCACGGGUGCGUAACACGUAGGUAAUCAACCCUCUGGUUGGGGAUAACACUUCGAAAGGAGUGCUAAUACCCGGUAUGGCGCAGCGGUCUUCGGAUCGCGGCGAGAAAGACCCGCAAGGGUUGCCAGAGGACGAGCCUGCGGCCCAUCAGCUAGUUGGCGAGGUAACGGCUCACCAAGGCGAAGACGGGUAGCUGGUCUGAGAGGAUGAUCAGCCACACUGGAACUGAGACACGGUCCAGACUCCUACGGGAGGCAGCAGUGGGGAAUAUUGCGCAAUGGGCGAAAGCCUGACGCAGCCACGCCGCGUGAGCGAUGAAGGCCUCGGUCGUAA
Molecule: ribosomal RNA, 401 nt
Filed under: uncultured bacterium
Lineage: Bacteria
Description: bacterial SSU rRNA
Rfam family: Bacterial small subunit ribosomal RNA
Source: RNAcentral